This 253-nucleotide ribosomal RNA is filed under the name uncultured bacterium. Its description in RNAcentral is "partial 16S ribosomal RNA". It matches the Rfam family "Bacterial small subunit ribosomal RNA", at positions 524 to 776 of the family's 1533-position model. The record is from RNAcentral.
UACGUAGGGGGCAAGCGUUGUCCGGAAUCAUUGGGCGUAAAGCGCGUGUAGGCGGCUUGGUAAGUCCGCUCUGAAAGCCCGGGGCUCAACCCCGGGAGGCGGGUGGAUCCUGCUGGGCUCGAGUCCGGAAGAGGAGUGUGGAAUUCCUGGUGUAGCGGUGAAAUGCGCAGAUAUCAGGAGGAACACCAAUGGCGAAGGCAGCACUCUGGGACGGUACUGACGCUGAGACGCGAAAGCGUGGGGAGCAAAUAGG